This 505-nucleotide ribosomal RNA is filed under the name uncultured bacterium. RNAcentral's name for it is "partial 16S ribosomal RNA". It matches the Rfam family "Bacterial small subunit ribosomal RNA", at positions 29 to 523 of the family's 1533-position model. The record is from RNAcentral.
AGUGAACGCUGGCGGUAGGCCUAACACAUGCAAGUCGAACGGCAGCACAGGAGAGCUUGCUCUCUGGGUGGCGAGUGGCGGACGGGUGAGGAAUACAUCGGAAUCUACUUUUUCGUGGGGGAUAACGUAGGGAAACUUACGCUAAUACCGCAUACGACCUACGGGUGAAAGCAGGGGAUCUUCGGACCUUGCGCGAUUGCAUGAGCCGAUGUCGGAUUAGCUAGUUGGCGGGGUAAAGGCCCACCAAGGCGACGAUCCGUAGCUGGUCUGAGAGGAUGAGCAGCCACACUGGAACUGAGACACGGUCCAGACUCCUACGGGAGGCAGCAGUGGGGAAUAUUGGACAAUGGGCGCAAGCCUGAUCCAGCCAUACCGCGUGGGUGAAGAAGGCCUUCGGGUUGUAAAGCCCUUUUGUUGGGAAAGAAAUCCAGCUGUUAAUACCCGGUUGGGAUGACGGUACCCAAAGAAUAAGCACCGGCUAACUUCGUGCCAGCAGCCGCCGUAA